This 253-nucleotide ribosomal RNA is filed under the name uncultured bacterium. Its description in RNAcentral is "partial 16S ribosomal RNA". It matches the Rfam family "Bacterial small subunit ribosomal RNA", at positions 524 to 776 of the family's 1533-position model. The record is from RNAcentral.
UACAGAGGGUGCAAGCGUUGUUCGGAAUUACUGGGCGUAAAGGGCGUGUAGGCGGCCUUGCAAGUCAGAUGUGAAAUCCCGGGGCUCAACUCCGGAAGUGCAUUUGAAACUACAAGGCUAGAGUGCUGUAGAGGAUGGCGGAAUACCCAGUGGAGAGGUGAAAUUCGUAGAUAUUGGGUAGAACACCGGUGGCGAAGGCGGCCAUCUGGGCAGCAACUGACGCUGAGGCGCGAAAGCGUGGGGAGCAAACAGG